CCUGGACUAGUAAAUAAUGCUACAAAGCUUCUGGAUCAUAUAAUACAUUUCCAGAUUUCAUAAAUAGAAAUAACAGAUGUGCAUAUCACCUUUGUUUCUCUGGUUCUUGCUUACCUACCUGAUAAUCCUCAUAGUCUGUCUUAAAGAGAAUUCAAAACAUUCCAUUAUGCAAAGAACACUCAGUAGCUUCAUUGAAUUCUUCAGUGGUAAUGAAUAAGUUCCCGUCUACCACUUACUGAAGAAUAAAUGUAUCACCUUAUUCAUCUCCUCCCGUUACCUUGAUCAGGUUCCCCUUAGUUAUAAGUAGCUAUCUUCCUUAGAUAAAAGAUCAAUCCUCCUCCUUAGUUGAAAGAUGAAUCUCCCCUCAGCAGUACACCACUAAAGAGUAGUUUACUCCCCCUUAGUUGUAGACGGCAGAAGAAAGCUAACUUACUUUUU
This 438-nucleotide long non-coding RNA is filed under the name Daucus carota (carrot). RNAcentral describes it as "long non-coding RNA (DCAR_LNC006197)". Lineage: Eukaryota; Viridiplantae; Streptophyta; Magnoliopsida; Apiales; Apiaceae. The record is from RNAcentral.